AUGUUUGUUUUGGAAGCACAUAUACCCAAAGUGGAGUGCUAUGGAGAUUAGAAUGGCCCCUGUAUAAGAAUGACACAUAAAUUCAUAAGCAUUCCAUAUUUUA
This is a small nuclear RNA of Otolemur garnettii (small-eared galago), 103 nucleotides long. NCBI's taxonomy places the organism in Eukaryota, Metazoa, Chordata, Mammalia, Primates, Galagidae. The record is from Ensembl.